AUUCUGUGCACCUUAUCACAGUCAGUUUUGUGAACAAGGAACUCCUAAUAGGCUGAGAGCAUCAACUGCCUGAUACAAGCAGAAGGAGAUUAUCAGAGUUGACCAGCUCUGGAUUUAGCCCUUUAGAAGUAAACUGUUGUUUAACUUUUUAACACAGAAAGAAAAGCCGAUAUCAGGGAUCACCUGGCACAACAACUACUUAAUUCUGA
This is a non-coding RNA of Pelobates cultripes (western spadefoot toad), 209 nucleotides long. The record is from the annotation of a GenBank genome assembly. NCBI's taxonomy places the organism in Eukaryota, Metazoa, Chordata, Amphibia, Anura, Pelobatidae.